RNAcentral lists this transfer RNA (86 nucleotides) under Methanobacteriota archaeon. Its description in RNAcentral is "Euryarchaeota archaeon tRNA-Leu". It matches the Rfam family "tRNA". Rfam says of the family: Transfer RNA (tRNA) molecules are approximately 80 nucleotides in length. Their secondary structure includes four short double-helical elements and three loops (D, anti-codon, and T loops). The record is from RNAcentral. Lineage: Archaea; Methanobacteriati; Methanobacteriota. RNAcentral also lists the same sequence under 1 other name.
GCAGGGGUACCCGAGCUGGUCAAAGGGGCCGGACUUAAGCUCCGGUGCAUAGUGCUUCAUGGGUUCAAAUCCCAUCCCCUGCACCA